This is a long non-coding RNA of Gadus macrocephalus (Pacific cod), 552 nucleotides long. RefSeq lists it as uncharacterized. The record is from RefSeq and is a predicted model, not a curated record. The transcript has 3 exons. Lineage: Eukaryota; Metazoa; Chordata; Actinopteri; Gadiformes; Gadidae.
AUACUGCCACAGUACUACCAAAUACAACCUAUACAUUAUUCCCAAGUACUGCAAUACUACUAACGAAUACUACAUAGCACUUGUACAAAUGAGUAAAAUGUACAGAGUCUUGUCGUUAUGUAACAAGUAGGGGCUAGAUAGUACAGAGACACGUCAUUAAGGAGCGGGUAGGGGUUGGACAGUAAAGGGACAGGUCAUUAAGGAGCAGGUAGGGGUUAGACAGUACCAUCAGGUCAUUAGGGAACAGAUAGGGGUUAGAAAGUACAGAGACAGGUCAUUAGGUGCAGGUAGGGGUUAGAAAGUACAGAGACAGGUCAUUAGGUGCAGGUAGGGGUUAGACAGUACAGAGACAGGUCAUUAAGGAGCAGGUAGGGGUUAGACAGUACCAUCAGGUCAUUAGGGAACAGAUAGGGGUUAGAAAGUACAGAGACAGGUCAUUAGGUGCAGGUAGGGGUUAGACAGUACAGAGACAGGUCAUUAAGGAGCAGGUAGGGGUUAGACAGUACAGAGACAGGUCAUUAAGGAGCAGGUAGGGGUUAGACAGUACAGAGA